RNAcentral lists this non-coding RNA (104 nucleotides) under bovine gut metagenome. RNAcentral describes it as "FMN riboswitch (RFN element)". It matches the Rfam family "FMN riboswitch aptamer (RFN element)". From Rfam's summary of the family: The RFN element is a highly conserved domain that is found frequently in the 5'-untranslated regions of prokaryotic mRNAs that encode for flavin mononucleotide (FMN) biosynthesis and transport proteins. This element is a metabolite-dependent riboswitch that directly binds FMN in the absence of proteins. The record is from RNAcentral.
CUUCAGGGCCGGGUGCAAUUCCCGACCGGCGGUAUAGCCCGCGAGCCGCAAGGCAUGAUUUGGUGAGAUUCCAAAGCCGACAGUACAGUCUGGAUGGAAGAAGU